AGUAAUGCCCAGGAAACUGCCCAGUAGUGGGGGAUAGCCCGGGGAAACCCGGAUUAAUACCGCAUACGCCCUUUGGGGGAAAGCAGGGGAUCUUCGGACCUUGCGCUAUUGGAUGUGCCUAUGUCGGAUUAGCUAGUUGGUGGGGUAAAGGCCUACCAAGGCGACGAUCCGUAGCUGGUCUGAGAGGAUGAUCAGCCACAUCGGGACUGAGACACGGCCCGAACUCCUACGGGAGGCAGCAGUGGGGAAUAUUGGACAAUGGGGGCAACCCUGAUCCAGCCAUGCCGCGUGUGUGAAGAAGGCUUUCGGGUUGUAAAGCACUUUCAGCAAGGAGGAAAACGUGUUGGUUAAUAACCAGCAUGCUUGACGUUACUUGCAGAAGAAGCACCGGCUAACUCCGUGCCAGCAGC
RNAcentral lists this ribosomal RNA (410 nucleotides) under uncultured Marinobacter sp. Its description in RNAcentral is "bacterial SSU rRNA". It matches the Rfam family "Bacterial small subunit ribosomal RNA", at positions 109 to 515 of the family's 1533-position model. Lineage: Bacteria; Pseudomonadati; Pseudomonadota; Gammaproteobacteria; Pseudomonadales; Marinobacteraceae. The record is from RNAcentral.